RNAcentral lists this ribosomal RNA (159 nucleotides) under Hyphoderma setigerum. RNAcentral's name for it is "5.8S ribosomal RNA". It matches the Rfam family "5.8S ribosomal RNA". From Rfam's summary of the family: 5.8S ribosomal RNA (5.8S rRNA) is a component of the large subunit of the eukaryotic ribosome. It is transcribed by RNA polymerase I as part of the 45S precursor that also contains 18S and 28S rRNA. RNAcentral also lists the same sequence under 1 other name. Lineage: Eukaryota; Fungi; Basidiomycota; Agaricomycetes; Polyporales; Hyphodermataceae. The record is from RNAcentral.
AUACAACUUUCAACAACGGAUCUCUUGGCUCUCGCAUCGAUGAAGAACGCAGCGAAAUGCGAUAAGUAAUGUGAAUUGCAGAAUUCAGUGAAUCAUCGAAUCUUUGAACGCACCUUGCGCUCUUUGGUAUUCCGAAGAGCAUGCCUGUUUGAGUGUCAU